RNAcentral lists this ribosomal RNA (553 nucleotides) under Pichia membranifaciens. Its description in RNAcentral is "eukaryotic LSU rRNA". It matches the Rfam family "Eukaryotic large subunit ribosomal RNA", at positions 79 to 658 of the family's 3401-position model. Lineage: Eukaryota; Fungi; Ascomycota; Pichiomycetes; Pichiales; Pichiaceae. The record is from RNAcentral.
CCCAGUAGCGGCGAGUGAAGCGGCAAGAGCUCAGAUUUGAAAUCGUGUUUCGGCACGAGUUGUAGAGUGUAGGCGGGAGUCUCUGUGGAGCGCGGUGUCCAAGUCCCUUGGAACAGGGUGCCUGAGAGGGUGAGAGCCCCGUAGGGUGCUGCGCGAAGCUUUUGAGGCCCUGCUGACGAGUCGAGUUGUUUGGGAAUGCAGCUCCAAGCGGGUGGUAAAUUCCAUCUAAGGCUAAAUAUUGGCGAGAGACCGAUAGCGAACAAGUACUGUGAAGGAAAGAUGAAAAGCACUUUGAAAAGAGAGUGAAACAGCACGUGAAAUUGUUGAAAGGGAAGGGUAUUGGGCUCGACAUGGGGGGUGCGCACCGCUGUCUCUUGUAGGCGGCGCUCUGGGCGCCCUCUGGGCCAGCAUCGGUUCCUGCUGCGGGAGAAGGGGCUCCGGAAAGUGGCUCUUCGGAGUGUUAUAGCCGGGGCCAGAUGCCGCGUGUGGGGACCGAGGACUGCGGCUUCUGUCUCGGAUGCUGGCAUAACGGCGCAAUACCGCCCGUCUUGAA